AUGCCCAUUCACACCCACUCACAUAGACUCAAACCACUCACAUACACCCACACCCACUCACAUACACUCAAACCACUCACAUGCACUCACACCCACUCACAUACACACACUCCACCCACUCACAUACACCCACACCCACUCACAUACACCCACACCCACCACAUACACCCACAUCCACCACAUACACCUGCACCCACUCACGUACACUCACACCCACUCACAUACACCCACACCCACUCACAUACACCCACACCCACCACAUACACCCACACCCACUCACAUACACUCAAACCACUCACAUACACCGACGCCCACUCAUAUACACCGACGCCCACCACAUACACCCACAUCCACCACAUACACUCACACCCCACCACAUACACCCACACCCACCACAUACACUCACACCCACUCACAUACACUCACGCCCACUCACAUACACCACACCCACUCACAUACACCCACACCCACCACAUACACCCACACCCACUCACAUACACCCACCCACCACAUACACCCACAUCCACCACAUACACCUGCACCCACCUCACUUACACUCACACCCACUCACAUACACUCACACCCACUCACAUCCACACCCACUCACAUACACUCCGGCAUCUACUCACAUACCCUCCACACCUACCCACAUACACUCUGGCUACCCACUCACAUACACUCACGCCCACUCACAUACAUCCACACCCACUCACAUACACCCACACCCACCACAUACACCCACAUCCACCACAUCCACCCACGCCCACUCACAUACACCCACACCCACUCACAUACAUCCACACCCACCACAUACACUCACAUCCACCACAUACAUCCACACCCACUCACAUACACCCACACCCACUCACAUGCAUCCAUACCCACUCACAUACACCCACGCCCACUCACAUACAUCCACACCCACUCACAUACACCCACGCCCACUCACAUUCAUCCAUACCCACUCACAUACACCCACGCCCACUCACAUACAUCCAUACCCACCAUAUACACCCACAUCCACCCCAUACACCCACACCCACUCACAUACACUCACACCACUCACAUACACCACGCCUACCUAUAUACACCCCUACGCAUCCCACAUACACCCACACCCACUCACAUACACCCACAUCCACCUCACAUACACCCACCUACCCACAUACACCCACACCCACUACAUACACUCACACCCACUCACAUACACCCAUACCCACCCACAUCCACCCACAUCCACCACAUACACCCACACCCACCACUACAUACACUCACACCCACUCACAUACACCCACACCCACCACACCCACUCAUAUACACCCACACCCACCACACCCAUUCACACUUAUGGAUACCCAUUCAUGUCCACCAAUACACAUUCUCACCCACAGCCAUCGGUCCUCACCCUUAACUUCUCUUGCUCACCCAGACCCAACCGUCUGUGCAAAACCCAGCUGA
RNAcentral lists this long non-coding RNA (1458 nucleotides) under Papio anubis (olive baboon). RNAcentral's name for it is "lncRNA (ENSPANG00000041133.1)". Lineage: Eukaryota; Metazoa; Chordata; Mammalia; Primates; Cercopithecidae. The record is from RNAcentral.